GGGUCGGUAGCUGAGACGGACUAGCGGCUGGUUGAAGCCCAGCAGACGGGGAUUCGAGCGCCUCCCGACCCA
RNAcentral lists this transfer RNA (72 nucleotides) under Isosphaeraceae bacterium. Its description in RNAcentral is "tRNA-Phe". It matches the Rfam family "tRNA". From Rfam's summary of the family: Transfer RNA (tRNA) molecules are approximately 80 nucleotides in length. Their secondary structure includes four short double-helical elements and three loops (D, anti-codon, and T loops). Further hydrogen bonds mediate the characteristic L-shaped molecular structure. tRNAs have two regions of fundamental functional importance: the anti-codon, which is responsible for specific mRNA codon recognition, and the 3' end, to which the tRNAs corresponding amino acid is attached (by aminoacyl-tRNA synthetases). tRNAs cope with the degeneracy of the genetic code in two manners: having more than one tRNA (with a specific anti-codon) for a particular amino acid; and 'wobble' base-pairing, i.e. permitting non-standard base-pairing at the 3rd anti-codon position. The record is from RNAcentral. Lineage: Bacteria; Pseudomonadati; Planctomycetota; Planctomycetia; Isosphaerales; Isosphaeraceae.